RNAcentral lists this long non-coding RNA (584 nucleotides) under Capsella rubella. Its description in RNAcentral is "long non-coding RNA (CRUB_LNC004040)". The record is from RNAcentral. Lineage: Eukaryota; Viridiplantae; Streptophyta; Magnoliopsida; Brassicales; Brassicaceae.
AAGACAAACGGCUGCUUCUAUCUCAAGUAACCCUUGUAACACUGGACAACACACAUUUUCCACCGGUUUGCCAAGUCCUAUAUGGAUCAAUCCUCCCAAAACGUCAACACAAGCUCCAAGCUUCAAUGCGUUGAUGGGACACGUUGGUUGUUUACCACCGCCUCCUCCUCCCCCUCCUCCAGGCCCGGAAGGUGGACCAUAUGGUGGAUAGCCGGAAGAUGGUGGUGGGACUGUGACCGGAGGUGGGUUAAUGAUUGGAGGGAGAAGUCCUGGAGGAGUUGGGACUGGAGGGAGAAGUCCCGGAGGAGUUGAGAUAGGAGGGAGGAGUCCCGGAGGAGUUGUAACGGGCGGUGGUUGAAUUGGAGGGCUUAUGAUCGGAGGUCUUGUGAUUGGCGGUGGCCUCACGAUUGGUGGUGGAUAGACAACCGGAGGAGGUCUUAUGAUUGGCGGUGGUCUCACCACUACCGGAGGAGGUCUAACAAUCGGCGGUGAUUUCCCUCCUCCUCCUCCACCAUGAUGCGGCGGUCCUCCACCUUUCCCACCGUGGUGUGGGGGUUUAGCACCACCUUUCCCACCGUGAUGCG